This 263-nucleotide long non-coding RNA is filed under the name Capsicum annuum. RNAcentral describes it as "long non-coding RNA (CANN_LNC005887)". The record is from RNAcentral. Lineage: Eukaryota; Viridiplantae; Streptophyta; Magnoliopsida; Solanales; Solanaceae.
CACAUUUUGGCUACUGCUGCAUGAGUCUCCCCUGAUAACGCGGUCGCUAUAAAAGUGAUGGAAGUACAAGAACAAGCAACUAAAUGAACAGUAUAGGCCCGAGAAAGUAUAACGAUGUCUCCCCAUACUAACAGUAUAGGCCCGAGAAAGUAUAACGAUGUCUCCCCAUACUAACUCCGCUGAGAUACCAGCUCUCAUAGGGACAGCCAAAAAAUGAGUUAAAGAGGAGAUCGGAGUGUUAUAGAGGGACCAGAAAGUGCAAA